AUUGAACGCUGGCGGCAUGCCUUACACAUGCAAGUCGAACGGUAACAGGUCUUCGCAUGCUGACGAGUGGCGAACGGGUGAGUAAUACAUCGGAACGUGCCCAGACGUGGGGGAUAACGAGGCGAAAGCUUUGCUAAUACCGCAUACGAUCUAAGGAUGAAAGCAGGGGACCGCAAGGCCUUGUGCGUUUGGAGCGGCCGAUGGCAGAUUAGGUAGUUGGUGGGAUAAAAGCUUACCAAGCCGACGAUCUGUAGCUGGUCUGAGAGGACGACCAGCCACACUGGGACUGAGACACGGCCCAGACUCCUACGGGAGGCAGCAGUGGGGAAUUUUGGACAAUGGGCGAAAGCCUGAUCCAGCAAUGCCGCGUGCAGGAUGAAGGCCUUCGGGUUGUAAACUGCUUUUGUACGGAACGAAAAGGCUCUGGCUAAUACCUGGGGCACAUGACGGUACCGUAAGAAUAAGCACCGGCUAACUACGUG
Molecule: ribosomal RNA, 482 nt
Filed under: uncultured bacterium
Lineage: Bacteria
Description: partial 16S ribosomal RNA
Rfam family: Bacterial small subunit ribosomal RNA
Source: RNAcentral